CUUCUUCCUCUUCUUCUUCCCCACUUUAAUCACAGCUCAAAGUUGCUCUGUUUCCAAGUGUAUCAACGAUGACUUCGCCAUCAGAUUCCCCUUUCGAAUUCCAGACCAGCAACCUGCAAGAUGUGGCUAUCCUGGUUUCAACUUAGCCUGCAACAAAGCGGGUGUGACGACUGUAAAUCUAUCAGCUUCUGAGUAUUUUUUGGUCAGGGGUAUCGAUUAUGCCACUCAACAAAUACAGCUCUAUGAUUCAGAUGAUUGCCUACCUGGAAGACUUCUUCAAGGCUUCAACAAAAUCAAUUUCUCAAACUCCCCAUUUAUGCCACUUUUUAGUCAGAAUAUUACCUUUCUAAGCUGCCCACCUCGGUUCACAAUGUCGCAUUUUCCCAUCAUUGAUUGUCUUAGCAAUUCAACAACCUCGAUUCUGGCUACUUCCUCAACGAGUUUUGUCAAGUCAAUGUCAACCUCUUGCACGAUCAUGAAAACUUUACCUGUCCCAGUUUCAAACCCAGAUGAGACCAAUCAAUUUUCAACCGACCUCAAUGGUGAUCUCGUGCUAACUUGGGACAGCCCUGCUUGCGGUAUCUGCGAAACAGAAGGCAGGCUUUGUGGGUACAAAAGCAAUAGCGGUCAGGGAAUUUCCUGUUUCGACAAAUACACAUCAGGUAAAGGCUCUGCCCUUAACUAUUUCCUAAGUUUAUGUUUAAACUAUACCAUACCUAAAAGCUCAAAAAUUCAUCUUUUACAAUCGGUGGAAUGAUUUCUUAAACAUCUCUUGUAUCCUAAUUGGUUGAGAAAAAUCUCAAAGCAAAUACGUAAUAAAAUAUUGAAAAAAGAAAAGGAAAAAAAAAAACCCCAUUAUUUUCUUAAAAUCAUAAUAACAAAUCAAUGUCCAAAUAACACUGGCGGUAUUACCUAUUACCCUAAACUGCAGGCUGCUGUAUGAAUCUUCGACUGGCUGUUGGUUGACCAAGACAUAAAUAAUGUUUAUAUUUCUGGGAAAUUGGGAUUAAAGUAAUACCUGAAGAAUAAUUUUUCUUUUUUUUAAAAAAAGUUGACUUUUUAGAUGGUGAAGGAAUGACAAAGACACUUGACAUUUCUUCACUGUUGCACGUCUCUUAAUAAUCUUCAAACGGGAUCAAAUAUGCUUUGACAUUGCUUGGGAACCCCACCCCGCGCCCUCGCACCCACACUCACAGGAAAAAUGCCAUUCAUGAUAUAUUUUGCAAGAAUAUCAAAGUUCAUGAUACCCAAUUAAAUGAUAGUAACCUUAAAUUUCAGAGGAAAACAAUGGUCUCAGAGUGCUGCGGAUUAUCUGUGUGGUGAUUCUUCUUCCGACUUUGAUCUGUGUCUUUGGACUUGGCUGUUUUAUCUGCUUGGCAAAGUGGAGCUAUAGCCUUACAGACGGCAGAGGAAAC
This 1415-nucleotide long non-coding RNA is filed under the name Cucumis sativus (cucumber). RNAcentral describes it as "long non-coding RNA (CSAT_LNC000900)". The record is from RNAcentral. Lineage: Eukaryota; Viridiplantae; Streptophyta; Magnoliopsida; Cucurbitales; Cucurbitaceae.